Molecule: ribosomal RNA, 30 nt
Filed under: Hyphoderma setigerum
Lineage: Eukaryota; Fungi; Basidiomycota; Agaricomycetes; Polyporales; Hyphodermataceae
Description: partial 28S ribosomal RNA
Source: RNAcentral
GCAUUUGACCUCAAAUCAGGUAGAUUACCC